GAUGAACGCUGGCGGCGUGCCUAACACAUGCAAGUCGAACGAAGCACUUUUUUACGAUCCCUUCGGGGUGACGAAUUUGUGACUGAGUGGCGGACGGGUGAGUAACGCGUGGGAAACCUGCCUUGUACCGGGGGAUAGCAGUUGGAAACGACUGAUAAUACCGCAUAAGCGCACAGUAUCACAUGAUACAGUGUGAAAAACUCCGGUGGUACAAGAUGGUCCCGCGUCUGAUUAGCUUGUUGGCGGGGUAAUGGCCCACCAAGGCGACGAUCAGUAGCCGACCUGAGAGGGUGACCGGCCACAUUGGGACUGAGACACGGCCCAAACUCCUACGGGAGGCAGCAGUGGGAAUAUUGCACAAUGGAGGAAACUCUGAUGCAGCGACGCCGCGUGAGCGAUGAAGUAUUUCGGUAUGUAAAGCUCUAUCAGCAGGGAAGAUAAUGACGGUACCUGACUAAGAAGCUCCGGCUAAAUACGUG
This 479-nucleotide ribosomal RNA is filed under the name uncultured bacterium. RNAcentral's name for it is "bacterial SSU rRNA". It matches the Rfam family "Bacterial small subunit ribosomal RNA", at positions 28 to 507 of the family's 1533-position model. The record is from RNAcentral.